This 499-nucleotide ribosomal RNA is filed under the name uncultured bacterium. RNAcentral's name for it is "bacterial SSU rRNA". It matches the Rfam family "Bacterial small subunit ribosomal RNA", at positions 8 to 524 of the family's 1533-position model. The record is from RNAcentral.
AGAGUUUGAUCCUGGCUCAGGACGAACGCUGGCGGCGUGCUUAACACAUGCAAGUCGAACGGUGACGAGGAGCUUGCUCCUCCGAUCAGUGGCGAACGGGUGAGUAACACGUGAGCAACCUGCCCCUCACUCUGGGAUAACAGUUGGAAACAGCUGCUAAUACCGGAUACGACACAGACAGGCAUCUGUACUGUGUGGAAAGUUUUUCGGUGAGGGAUGGGCUCGCGGCCUAUCAGUUUGUUGGUGGGGUAAUGGCCUACCAAGACGACGACGGGUAGCCGGCCUGAGAGGGCGACCGGCCACACUGGGACUGAGACACGGCCCAGACUCCUACGGGAGGCAGCAGUGGGGAAUAUUGCGCAAUGGGCGAAAGCCUGACGCAGCAACGCCGCGUGCGGGAUGACGGCCUUCGUGGUUGUAAACCGCUUUCAGCAGGGACGAAAAUGACGGUACCUGCAGAAGAAGCCCCGGCUAACUACGUGCCAGCAGCCGCGGUAAU